Molecule: transfer-messenger RNA, 356 nt
Filed under: human gut metagenome
Rfam family: transfer-messenger RNA
About the family: Bacterial tmRNA, also known as 10Sa RNA or SsrA, is named for its dual tRNA and mRNA-like properties.
Source: RNAcentral
GGGGAUGUACUGGCUUCGACGGGGGAUAUUCGGUGACUUGAGGAGCGAGCCGAGCUCACACUUACUCGUAAAACAGUGUACCUAAAUUUAAACGCUAAAAACAAUAACAAUUUAGCUUUCGCUGCUUAAUUGCAGUCGAACUCUCUACCUGCUGUGCCUGCGGUGCGGGAUAGAGAGUCAACCCAGCAGGCUACCAUCAGCCCACUGUCGGAUAAGCUGACGGGAAACUCAUCUGACUGGCUCGUGCAGAGUUUGUCUGCGGACGCUGCCCGAGUGAGAUCAAAACACAAACUACGCUCGUAGGGCCCCAGGUGGUCGGUCUUCCGGACAUGGGUUCGACUCCCAUCAUCUCCAUC